UGAAUGCAGGACUCAAGGAUCAGAUUAAUUC
Molecule: non-coding RNA, 31 nt
Filed under: Mus musculus (house mouse)
Lineage: Eukaryota; Metazoa; Chordata; Mammalia; Rodentia; Muridae
Source: RNAcentral